CCUACGGGAGGCUGCAGUGGGGAAUAUUGGGCAAUGGGCGCAAGCCUGACCCAGCAACGCCGCGUGAAGGACGAAGGCUUUCGGGUUGUAAACUUCUUUUCUCAGGGACGAAGCAAGUGACGGUACCUGAGGAAUAAGACACGGCUAACUCCGUGCCAGCAGCCGCGGUAAUACGUAGGUGGCAAGCGUUAUCCGGAUUUACUGGGUGUAAAGGGCGUGUAGGCGGGAAAGCAAGUCAGAUGUGAAAACCAUGGGCUCAACCUGGGGCCUGCAUUUGAAACUGGUUGUCUUGAGUCCUGGAGAGGCAGACGGAAUUCCUAGUGUAGCGGUGAAAUGCGUAGAGAUUAGGAGGAACACCAGUGGCGAAGGCGGUCUGCUGGACAGCAACUGACGCUGAGGCGCGAAAGCGUGGGGAGCAAACAGGAUUAGAUACCCCAGUAGUC
RNAcentral lists this ribosomal RNA (443 nucleotides) under uncultured bacterium. RNAcentral's name for it is "partial 16S ribosomal RNA". It matches the Rfam family "Bacterial small subunit ribosomal RNA", at positions 338 to 795 of the family's 1533-position model. The record is from RNAcentral.